GAAAGAAGCAAUGACAACAACACAUGUGCUAGUUCUUCCCAAUUUCAACCUGGAGUUUAUUAUAGAAACCGAUGCAUGUGGUAUUGGCAUUGGGGAAAAGCUAAUGCAGGAGGGACAUCCUUUAGCUUUUAUGAGUAAAUCACUUAGCAGUAGGCAUCAGCAACUUUCAGUUUGUGAAAAGGAAAUGAUGGCAAUAGUAGCAGCUGCACAAAAAUGGAGAUAUUAUCUCUUCGGAAAGAUAUUUCACUAUCAAGACUGAUCAACAAAGUCUAAAAUACCUCAUGGAAUAGAGGAUAUCAACCCCUAGUCAACAAAAAUGGCUAGCUAAGCUCAUGGGGUAUGAUUAUUCUAUCACCUACAAGAAGGGUCGAGACAAUUUGGUUGCAGAUGCAUUGUCUCGAUUGCCUAAAGAGGAGAUUCAGCUGCACACUUUAUCAUAUGUGUCUUCUUACUUCUUAGAGAAGAUCAAAGCUUCUUAUGAGAAAGAUACUUACAACAGAUUAUCCAACAAUUGAAGUAGGAUGCUCUGUCUAAACCCUUGUAUAUGUUGAAGGAUGGUAUUCUCUAUUGAGGGGGCAAGAUAGUGGUGGGUGCAGAUAAGGAAGCAAGGCAGGAAAUACUACAAGGUCACUCAGGGAUAGCUGCUACUCUGAGAAGAGUCACUUAGUUUUAUCACUGGAAGAAACUAAAGGUGGAUUUCCAUGAACACAUCAGAGGGUGUGAAGUUUGUCAAAGAUGUAAGGGUGAAAAUGUGAAAUCACGAGGAAUACUACAACCCUUGCCCAACCCAGAUAAGGUGUGGCAGGACAUUAGCCUUGAUGUUUAUCGAAGGCCUAUUAAAAUCAAAUCACCACACAGUGAUUAUGGUAGUGGUUGAUAGGUUGAGCAAGUAUGCUCAUUUUAUUGCCCUGAAACACUCAUACACUGCUGCCUUAGUAGCUCAGGCUUAUUUGGAUAAUGUUUACAAGCUCCAUGGACUACCUCAGACAUUAGUCAGUGACAGGGAUGUGGUCUUCCUCAGUAAAUUCUGGCAGUCUCUUUUUGAUGUUCAAGGAGUGCAACUGCAUCAUUCUACAGCUUACCAUCCUCAAUCGGAUGGCCAAACUGAGGCAAUGAAUAAAUGUUUGGAAGGGCAUCUCAGAUGCAUGUGUAUUGAUCGACCCAAAGAUUGGGCACACUGGUUGUCACUGGCUGAAUGGUGGUAUAAAACUACCUACCAUUAUACUACUAAAUUGACCCUAUUUGAGGUAUUAUAUGGACAAAAGCCACAUACGUACAUGCCUUAUGCUCCAUACAACUCAUUGGUGGAAGAAGUGGAUAGAAGCUUGCAGGCUAGAGAAAGCACUAUCAGGUUACUCAAGCAUCAUCUACUGUUAGCUCAAUCUAGAAUGAAGAUUCAAGCUGAUAAAAACAGAUCCUUUAGAGAGUUUGAGGUGGGAGAUCAAGUGUUUGUCAGGCUGCAACCUUACAGGCAGAUCUCCUUCAAGGUCACUCUUAUCACAAACUAAGUCCAAAAUAUUUUGGUCUAUUUCAAAUAAUCAAGAGGGUUGGAUCUGUAGCCUACCAAUUGCACGUACCUCCUCAUGCCAAAAUCCAUUCCACAUUCCAUGUUUCAUAACUCAAAAAGCACAGUGGAUAUGCUCCUGGAAUACCUGAUCUACCAGUAUCUCUUUCUCCUCAUGGCAAUAUUCUUUUGGAACCAGAGCAAGCACUGAAAUUUCGAUUCAUUUCCAAGCAUGCAGGUCAGGGAAGUGUUGGUGAAGUGGUUCAACUGUCCAAUUGAAG
RNAcentral lists this long non-coding RNA (1785 nucleotides) under Nicotiana tabacum (common tobacco). RNAcentral's name for it is "long non-coding RNA (NTAB_LNC014328)". Lineage: Eukaryota; Viridiplantae; Streptophyta; Magnoliopsida; Solanales; Solanaceae. The record is from RNAcentral.